AGAAGCUAAAAUUAAAAACCCUAACGCCUGUUCAUGUUCUCUCUUGAAGUUGUUGUCCCUAAUCUAAAACCAGCUCCGAUCGAUCUCUUCCUUGACGAACGACAAUGACUCUCUAUGGCCGUCGUCCCUCACGGUCCUCCGAGUCAGGUCCAGCAGAUGGAUGCCACCAUGAGCCACACACAAGCGCAUCAGCAAAAAAAAGAGGACAAAUCAGAGACCCAUGUACAUUGGCGAGGCUGAUUGGGACACUCUAAUGGAGUAAUGGGAAACAAAACCAGCAAAGAAGAAGAGAAAGAAUGCUGGAAGCCACUUAUCUAAUCAUGAUGGCAUACGGGGUUCACAAGCAUUGUGUAUGUCCUCGACGUUUUUUGCAGAUUGAGCAUGAGAUGAUGUGUGAGUCUAGUUUGGAUGAAGCACCCGUCUUCACUGAUCUUAUGCGGAGGACACACUCACGCAAAGAUGGAAUUUUAAUGGAAGUGCUGAUCUCUGUUUUGGAGACUAACUUCAAGUGACUCAACACCAAUGUUGGAGAUUUUAAUACUAACAUGGGAAUGGUUAUGGACGAGCUGGUUGCAUCACGACAAGCUCUUAUUCUGGUCAUGUAGUCUCUUGGAGUUAGACAACCCUCUGUUGCUGCUACUCCUGCUACAACUUUUGCUGCUGCUCCUGAUCCAGCUUCUACAACUGCUGCUCCUGCUCCAGCUUCUACACCUGCUGCACCUACUCCAGAGCAAAAAGAGAGAAAGGAGAGAACCUGUG
Camelina sativa (false flax) is the source of this 759-nucleotide long non-coding RNA. RefSeq lists it as uncharacterized. Lineage: Eukaryota; Viridiplantae; Streptophyta; Magnoliopsida; Brassicales; Brassicaceae. The record is from RefSeq and is a predicted model, not a curated record.